This 480-nucleotide ribosomal RNA is filed under the name uncultured bacterium. Its description in RNAcentral is "bacterial SSU rRNA". It matches the Rfam family "Bacterial small subunit ribosomal RNA", at positions 28 to 507 of the family's 1533-position model. The record is from RNAcentral.
GAUGAACGCUAGCGGCAGGCUUAACACAUGCAAGUCGAGGGGUAGAAGAAGCUUGCUUUUUUGAGACCGGCGCACGGGUGCGUAACGCGUAUGCAAUUUACCUUUCACAGAGGGAUAGCCCAGAGAAAUUUGGAUUAAUACCUCAUAGUAAUACGACUUGGCAUCAAGAUGUAUUUAAAGAUUUAUCGGUGAAAGAUGAGCAUGCGUCCCCUUAGCUAGUUGGUAUGGUAACGGCAUACCAAGGGUUCGAUGGGUAGGGGUCCUGAGAGGGAGAUUCCCCCCACUGGUACUGAGACACGGACCAGACUCCUUCGGGAGGCAGCAGUGAGGAAUAUUGGACAAUGGGCGCAAGCCUGAUCCAGCCAUGCCGCGUGCAGGAUGACGGUCCUAUGGAUUGUAAACUGCUUUUAUACAGGAAGAAACACCUUUACGUGUAGAGACUUGACGGUACUGUAAGAAUAAGGAUUGGCUAACUCCGUG